CAGCCGCGCGGUAAUACGAAGGGGGCUAGCAUUGCUCGGAAUGACUGGGCGUAAAGGGCGCGUAGGCGGAUGGCACAGUCAGAUGUGAAAUUCCCGGGCUUAACCUGGGGGCUGCAUUUGAUACGUGUUGUCUAGAGUGAGGAAGAGGGUUGUGGAAUUCCCAGUGUAGAGGUGAAAUUCGUAGAUAUUGGGAAGAACACCGGUGGCGAAGGCGGCAACCUGGUCCUUGACUGACGCUGAGGCGCGAAAGCGUGGGGAGCAAACAGGAUUAGAUACCCCCGUAGUCCCUGUCUCUUAUACC
Molecule: ribosomal RNA, 301 nt
Filed under: uncultured bacterium
Lineage: Bacteria
Description: partial 16S ribosomal RNA
Rfam family: Bacterial small subunit ribosomal RNA
Source: RNAcentral